AGAGUUUGAUCCUGGCUCAGAACGAACGCUGGCGGCGUGGAUAAGACAUGCAAGUCGAGCGCUGAUUACGAGGUAGCAAUAUUUCGUAGUUGGAGCGGCGCAAGGGUGCGUAACACGUGGGUAAUCUGCCAUGAAGUUUGGGAUAACUCGCUGAAAGGCGAGCUAAUACCGGAUGUGAAGAUUGGAAGGCAUCUUUUGAUCUUCAAAGCUGGGGACCGUAAGGCCUGGCGCUUCAUGAUGAGCCCGCGGCCUAUCAGCUAGUUGGUGAGGUAACGGCUCACCAAGGCUAAGACGGGUAGCUGGUCUGAGAGGACGACCAGCCACACUGGAACUGAGACACGGUCCAGACACCUACGGGUGGCAGCAGUCGAGAAUUUUUCACAAUGGGGGAAACCCUGAUGGAGCGACGCCGCGUGGGGGAUGAAUGGCUUCGGCCCGUAAACCCCUGUCAUUCGCGAACAAUGCCUGUGGUCUAAUAAAUCACAGGUUGAUAGUAGCGGAAGAGGAAGGGACGGCUAACUCUGUGCCAGCAGCCGCGGUAAUACAGAGGUCCCAAGCGUUGUUCGGAUUCACUGGGCGUAAAGGGUGCGUAGGCGGUCGGGUAAGUCUGAUGUGAAAUCUCACAGCUUAACUGUGAAACUGCAUUGGAUACUAUUCGGCUUGAGGUCUGGAGGGGGGACUGGAAUUCUCGGUGUAGCAGUGAAAUGCGUAGAUAUCGAGAGGAACACCAGUGGCGAAGGCGAGUCCCUGGACAGGUCCUGACGCUGAGGCACGAAAGCUAGGGGAGCAAACAGGAUUAGAUACCCUGGUAGUCCUAGCCGUAAACGGUGCUUAUUUGCUGUAAAAGGAUCGACCCCUUUUGUGGCGUAGCAAACGCGUUAAAUAAGCCGCCUGGGAAGUACGGUCGCAAGAUUAAAACUCAAAGAAAUUGACCGGGGCCUGCACAAGCCGUUG
This 954-nucleotide ribosomal RNA is filed under the name uncultured bacterium. Its description in RNAcentral is "bacterial SSU rRNA". It matches the Rfam family "Bacterial small subunit ribosomal RNA", at positions 8 to 935 of the family's 1533-position model. The record is from RNAcentral.